UUUUCGGUUAGUAUUCCUUUUUUUUUCUCAUUCUUAACAUGUUAUGGUAAAUUUAUUUGUUUUCUUUUAUUUUGAUUAAGCAAAGUUAAAGAUGAAAAUCAUUUUGAUUGAGAAAUGAGAAUAGAGAUGAAAGUAAGGAAAUAAUUGAAAGAAACUUUUUAUUUUUACUUUUCUUUAAGAUACAAAGAGAGAGACUAUUUUUUCUCUGUGUUGUUUUG
RNAcentral lists this long non-coding RNA (218 nucleotides) under Lathyrus oleraceus (garden pea). Its description in RNAcentral is "Pisum sativum (pea) long non-coding RNA (PSAT_LNC000196)". The record is from RNAcentral. Lineage: Eukaryota; Viridiplantae; Streptophyta; Magnoliopsida; Fabales; Fabaceae.